Molecule: ribosomal RNA, 500 nt
Filed under: uncultured bacterium
Lineage: Bacteria
Description: partial 16S ribosomal RNA
Rfam family: Bacterial small subunit ribosomal RNA
Source: RNAcentral
AUUGAACGCUGGCGGCAUGCCUUACACAUGCAAGUCGAACGGCAGCACGGGAGCAAUCCUGGUGGCGAGUGGCGAACGGGUGAGUAAAGUAUCGGAACGUGCCCAGUCGUGGGGGAUAACGUAGCGAAAGUUACGCUAAUACCGCAUAUGAUCUAUGGAUGAAAGCGGGGGAUCGCAAGACCUCGCGCGAUUGGAGCGGCCGAUAUCAGAUUAGGUAGUUGGGGGGGUAAAGGCUCACCAAGCCGACGAUCUGUAGCUGGUCUGAGAGGACGACCAGCCACACGGGGACUGAGACACAGCCCAGACUCCUACGGGAGGCAGCAGUGGGGAAUUUUGGACAAUGGGCGAAAGCCUGAUCCAGCCAUGCCGCGUGCAGGAUGAAGGCCUUCGGGUUGUAAACUGCUUUUGUACGGAACGAAAAGGUUUGGCCUAAUAAGCUGAGCUCAUGACGGUACCGUAAGAAUAAGCACCGGCUAACUACGUGCCAGCAGCCGCAGUAA